Molecule: non-coding RNA, 21 nt
Filed under: Caenorhabditis elegans
Lineage: Eukaryota; Metazoa; Nematoda; Chromadorea; Rhabditida; Rhabditidae
Source: RNAcentral
UCAUUGACAAAUAACGGAAAA